This is a long non-coding RNA of Populus trichocarpa (black cottonwood), 243 nucleotides long. RefSeq lists it as uncharacterized. The record is from RefSeq and is a predicted model, not a curated record. Lineage: Eukaryota; Viridiplantae; Streptophyta; Magnoliopsida; Malpighiales; Salicaceae. The transcript has 2 exons.
CCUUCAUCACCAUUAUUGUGACUUUCUGCAAUAGGAGCACAUAAAAACAAGGACAAAAUUUCUAAGCCAGGAAGAAUAUUGAAAGGACUGGAACACUUUCUGACAUGGAAGGAUAUUGAUCAGUAAAGAUAAUGAAAAAGAAGAUGAGGUCCAUAGGGCCAAAAACAAUGACCACCGCAUAAAAAGAAGAAAAACCCAAAUGAAUGGGCUAAAUAAAAGAUAAAUCUAAACCAAGAAAAGAAG